This 848-nucleotide unclassified non-coding RNA is filed under the name soil metagenome. RNAcentral's name for it is "partial contains internal transcribed spacer 1, 5.8S ribosomal RNA, and internal transcribed spacer 2". The stretch from base 146 to 299 matches the Rfam family "5.8S ribosomal RNA". The record is from RNAcentral.
UAAUAAAAGUGUUUUAUGGCACUUUUCAAACAAAUCCAUAUCCACCUUGUGUGCAAUGUUUUUUUUUUUAAAUAAACACUUUAUUUUUUAAUUGCCAAUUUAUCUGAAGAUCAGUAUUAUUAUGAAUUAACUUAAUUCAAAAUAUAACUUUCAACAACGGAUCUCUUGGCUCUCGCAUCGAUGAAGAACGCAGCGAAAUGCGAUACGUAAUGUGAAUUGCAGAAUUCAGUGAAUCAUCGAAUCUUUGAACGCAUAUUGCGCUCUCUGGCAUUCCGGAGAGCAUGCUUGUUUGAGUAUCAGUAAACACCUCAAGUCGAGAGAUUUUUUUCUUGAGACUUGGAUUUGAGUGAUCCUAAUGACUGGUCCUUUUUUAUAAAGGAUAAGUAGGCAGGUCACUUGAAAUUCAGGUGCAGCUGAACUUUUCUUCUGAGCUAAAAGCAUUAUUUAUUUAGUCUUUAUUGACUAUUACUUUUUUUUGCUGCAGCUAAUAUAAAGGAAGAAUAGCUUCAUUAUAGCUGACUGAUGCAGGAAUUUAUCAGUCUGAUCAAAAGGACUGUUAGACUCGAUCUCAAAUCAAGUAAGACUACCCGCUGAACUUAAGCAUAUCAAUAAGCGGAGGAAUCGCGAUCUUGGUCAUUUAGAGGAAGUAAAAGUCGUAACAAGGUCUCCGUUGGUGAACCAGCGGAGGGAUCAUUACCGAGUUUACAACUCCCAAACCCCUGUGAACAUACCUAUACGUUGCCUCGGCGGAUCAGCCCGCGCCCCGUAAAACGGGACGGCCCGCCGCAGGAACCCACUAAACCCUGAUUUUUAGUGGAACUUCUGAGUAUUAAAAAACAAAUAAAUCA